UCCCUAGUGGUCCAGUGGUUAAGACUGGUGCUUCCAACACAAGGGGUCUGGGUUCAACGCCUGGCUGGGGAA
RNAcentral lists this transfer RNA (72 nucleotides) under Ovis aries (sheep). It matches the Rfam family "tRNA". From Rfam's summary of the family: Transfer RNA (tRNA) molecules are approximately 80 nucleotides in length. Their secondary structure includes four short double-helical elements and three loops (D, anti-codon, and T loops). The record is from Rfam by way of RNAcentral. Lineage: Eukaryota; Metazoa; Chordata; Mammalia; Artiodactyla; Bovidae.